Molecule: ribosomal RNA, 480 nt
Filed under: uncultured bacterium
Lineage: Bacteria
Description: partial 16S ribosomal RNA
Rfam family: Bacterial small subunit ribosomal RNA
Source: RNAcentral
GAUGAACGCUCGCGGCAGGCCUAAUACAUGCAAGUCGAGGGGUAUGGGUUGCUUGCAACCCAGAGACCGGCGCACGGGUGCGUAACGCGUAUGCAAUCUACCUUAAUCAGGGGGAUAGCCCGGAGAAAUCCGGAUUAACACCGCAUAACAUUGAGUUGUGGCAUCACAGUUCAAUCAAAUAUUUAUAGGAUUAAGAUGAGCAUGCGUGACAUUAGUUAGUUGGUGAGGUAACGGCUCACCAAGACCACGAUGUCUAGGGGAUCUGAGAGGAUGACCCCCCACACUGGUACUGAGACACGGACCAGACUCCUACGGGAGGCAGCAGUAAGGAAUAUUGGUCAAUGGGCGCAAGCCUGAACCAGCCAUGCCGCGUGCAGGAAGACGGCCCUAUGGGUUGUAAACUGCUUUUGUACCGGAAUAAACCUUCUCUUGCGAGAGAAGCUGAACGUACGGUAAGAAUAAGGAUCGGCUAACUCCGUG